CAAGAAUAUUAGUCAAUGCUCGCAAGAGUGAACUAGCUAACUGAAAUCAUAUAAGUGUCUUAUGUGAUGUCGUAAGGGAAAAUAAUGAUAUUACCUUACUAAUAGUGUCGUCUAAAACUGGUGCCAGAAGACUCGGUAAGGCCAGAGACACAAAUGUUAAUCAUCUUAAUCAGGCGUAAAGGGUUUGUAGGCUGCUUUGAAAGUAUUUCUUUAAUAUAGCCAAAAGUAAAGAAGUAUGAAUUAAAGCUAGAAUCUAAUAGAGGAUAUUUAAAAAAUAAUGCUUGAUUUAGGGCUGAGAUCCGUAAACAUCAAGUGGAGUUCCAAGAGCGUAAGCAUUUAUCCAUUAAAGAUUGACGCUGAGAAACGAAGGUGAGGAUAGGAAAUAGGAUUAGAGACCCAGAUACCCCUCUCUGUCAACGAUGAAUGGUAGUUGUUAGUUUAGUAAACUAGUGACGUAGUUAACACGUUAACCAUUCCGCCUUGUGAGUACGACUGCAAAGUUGAAAACAAAAAAAUUAGUCGGUCUCGGAGCAAACGAAGUGAAGUAUGUUAUUUAAUUC
RNAcentral lists this ribosomal RNA (560 nucleotides) under Junghuhnia lacera. Its description in RNAcentral is "SSU rRNA". It matches the Rfam family "Bacterial small subunit ribosomal RNA", at positions 356 to 952 of the family's 1533-position model. The record is from RNAcentral. Lineage: Eukaryota; Fungi; Basidiomycota; Agaricomycetes; Polyporales; Steccherinaceae.